CCCCGAAUAGCUCAGUUGGAAGAGCAUGAGACUGUAAUCGGAUACCUUGUGCAUCUCAGGGUCAUCGGUUCGAUCCCGAUUUCGGGGA
Non-coding RNA from Cronartium quercuum f. sp. fusiforme G11, 88 nucleotides. The record is from the annotation of a GenBank genome assembly. Lineage: Eukaryota; Fungi; Basidiomycota; Pucciniomycetes; Pucciniales; Coleosporiaceae.